UACGUAGGGGGCAAGCGUUGUCCGGAAUCAUUGGGCGUAAAGCGCGUGUAGGCGGUUCAGUAAGUCUGCUGUGAAAGUCCAGGGCUCAACCCUGGGAUGCCGGUGGAUACUGCUGGGCUAGAGUACGGAAGAGGCGAGUGGAAUUCCCGGUGUAGCGGUGAAAUGCGCAGAUAUUGGGAGGAACACCAAUUGCGAAGGCAGCUCGCUGGGACGUCACUGACGCUGAGACGCGAAAGCGUGGGGAGCAAACAGG
RNAcentral lists this ribosomal RNA (253 nucleotides) under uncultured bacterium. Its description in RNAcentral is "partial 16S ribosomal RNA". It matches the Rfam family "Bacterial small subunit ribosomal RNA", at positions 524 to 776 of the family's 1533-position model. The record is from RNAcentral.